Molecule: ribosomal RNA, 250 nt
Filed under: uncultured bacterium
Lineage: Bacteria
Description: partial 16S ribosomal RNA
Rfam family: Bacterial small subunit ribosomal RNA
Source: RNAcentral
UCGAGAAUUUUUCACAAUGGGCGCAAGCCUGAUGGAGCGACGCCGCGUGGGGGAUGAAGGGCUUCGGCUCGUAAACCCCUGUCAUUUGCGAACAAGGGCGCCAACCUAACAUGUUGUCGCUUGAUAGUAGCAGAAGAGGAAGGGACGGCUAACUCUGUGCCAGCAGCCGCGGUAAUACAGAGGUCCCAAGCGUUGUUCGGAUUCACUGGGCGUAAAGGGUGCGUAGGUGGCGAUUUAAGUCGGGUGUGAA